RNAcentral lists this ribosomal RNA (98 nucleotides) under Acanthosepion pharaonis. Lineage: Eukaryota; Metazoa; Mollusca; Cephalopoda; Sepiida; Sepiidae. The record is from RNAcentral.
UUGAAACACUGGUUCUCAUCCGAUCACUGACGUUAAGCAAUGCUAAACCUGGUCAGUACCUAGAUGGGUGACCGCUUGGGAAUACCAGGUGCUGUAAG